UUUGCUGACUGACUGGUACACUUCCCAAUAUCACCAUUUGCUCAACAAGUAAUAUAGGUCAGGUCCACCUUAGAACUCUCAUCUAAGGCAUCUAUAGCACUUUUCUAGCAAGGCCAAAUUUACAUUUUAUUAGAAUAGAUGUCUACUUCCAUGGUAUCAUCCUCGGGGAAUUCUUUUUCAUCUUUUUCAUCUGUGGUUGAUGCUAUUAGUCUGAUUAGGACCAACUUUUUAGCAGAAACUAGGAGCUAUAAGGUAGAAAGGGUAGGCUACCUACCCAGGGAGGGACACAAAGGGUUACAGUUUCUCAGCACUCCAGGCAGACCACUGUGUGUGUUGGGUAGAGAAGGGGGUUGGAGAUGUUCUCUUAGUCUGUGGGGUCCUCAUGGAAGUUGAGUCCAUCCUCAGUUGGUCAAAGGAGAAACUUUUUCCAUCCUGAGUCUGAGUAGGUACAGUGAGAAUGGCACAGACCAGAUGAGUAUCUCAUUUUUUCAGAUAACUCCAGAGAUACACCUUUGUGUCCCUACUAUUUACAGGGCCACAGUCUUGAGGGUGCAGACAUGACUCUUAUGAAGAAUGCUCAGACAUCUAGGGCCAGUCAAUAUAGCCCCAAGUCAUCCAGCAAUUCUUUACAUAUAUAUAUAGGUCAACAACUCUCAGGAUAUCGCUUCACUGAGGUUGUGGUGCAGCCACAGAAUAGUGUAGCCAUCAUUGGUCACCUCUCUGACUAGGCACCACGCAGGCUCAUGAAGCUAAAUCCUUGUUGAAAAAAGUUCUUCACGCAGCAAACAGUCAAAGAAGAAUGCAAAGUUCUACAUAAUGAAGUGCUACUUUGGAUAUGAACAAGUGCCCAGGAUGUGUCAGGUGCCAGACUGGCCCAGAGAUUGCAAGAGCACUGGCUAUACUGGAGGCUCCAGGAUAGAGUCAAGACUAUCUGCAGUCCCAAAGCCAAGGCCAAGGGUCCUCCAUCCUAGCAUUUGGCCUUGGAUGGAUCUGAAGACAAUGAUUUUGAGGAUGCUGGCAUUGCUACCCAUGAAAUGAACUCAAAGGUCAUGUGUGAUCCCCAAAAUAUCUUCACAUUUUGUGAAUCUGUUUGCAUUUACGUGUUUAUGUCUUGUUUCUACAAACAGAUGGUAAACUUCUUGAGGAUAGGCAUUUUUGUGUGAGCAUAAUGCCUUGAACCUAAUAGGCCCUAAUGAAGUCUUGUUGAAUUACUAGGCCUGUACCUUCAGAUAGCUUUCAAUGGACAGAUGCCAGAAGGUUGGAGGGAGAGUCGCCAAAUAAACACUGGCUAUUUCUAGAGGAAAACUCUGUAGAUGGUUAGGCACCUAUGAGUGGGCUGGAAGCAAAGAAAAGAUGGAGGCCCUGCCUUUGAGGAACUUAGGACCCUCUUCCAAAGCCUGAGAGAGAGAGAGAAAACUCACACCAAGAACAUAGAUGAAGGCUGGCUUGUCAACAGGUCAACAUAGGAAGACUCGGGAGGAGAGCCCCAGCUCAGAACAGAAGAUCUACCCAAAUCAAUUUUCCAGAGAGCUGAAAUGCCUCUGUUGACCGUGUUGGAUGAUGGUGUUUCUGGAAAACAUUCCAGUCUUACCUCUGAGAAAAGCAGGGUACAGUGAACCUGUUUUAAGCCUGUCUUGUAGGUUCAGAGUGGGACCUGGAAGGCUCUUGUUUGUGCAGGAAUAUUUGCCCCUGUGCCCAAUGGUCCCAGAUGGACAUGUUUUUCAAAUCAAUCAUUCCUCUUGCAUUUUCUUACUGUUCCUAUCUGUUCCUAUUUGUUGCAUAUUUCUGCUUCCUUAUUUUAUAUAUACUCAGACAAGGGAGAGCUAAGGGGAAGCUCGUUCCUGUCAGCUAGCCAACUUUUAUUCAUUUCUCAGGUAGCUUAAAAUCGUUUCUUCUGGGAAGAUUUCCAAGCCUCCCAAACUGAGGUGGGACUCAGUCUGAGGAAGAUUAGCCCUGAGCUAACAUCUGCUGCCAAUCCUCCUCUUUUUGCUGAGGAAGACUGGCCCUGAGCUAAUAUCAGUGCCCAUCUUCCUCUAUGUUAUACGUGGGACGCCUACCACAGCAUAGCUUGCCAAGUGGUGCCAUGUCUGCACCCGGGAUCCGAACCGGUGAACACCAGGCCGCCAAAGAGGAAUGUGCGCACUUAACCACUGCACCACCGGGCUGGCCCAGUGCACGUGGAGCCCAAGAUGCUCAUCACUCCUCACUUCUGCAAUGAAAGACCAGUUGCAUACCUUCCAAGGCCUAGAGACCGUUGAAUGUGAGCUCCAUGGGAACCGAGAUGUUUUCUGUUUUCAACCUGCUGUAUCCCCACUGGCUUGCACAGCACCUGGCCCUUCGUGAAAGCUCAAGACAUAUUUGUUCAAUAAAUUGUUGAAUGGCUGUGGCGAUCAGGCUAAUACUUGUUUGAGUCUGAGAAGCAGUGAGGUGUAGCCAGGAAAGAGCUGAACUAGAAGUCAAGAAAUCCAGGUUCACCUUCCGCCUCUGUCAUCAGCCACCACAUACCUCACUCCUACCAUCUGUAAGAGUAUUGUGGAGAGGAUGAGAGAAGAAGUGGAAAUGACUCACUUCAGUAAGAAGGUUGGAUGUGUGGAGGAGUGGAGAUGGUUGGGAGUCCAUGAUGUCUGUCUGGACAAACAGACUGAGCUAUCCUUACGCAGAUGUGAGCACUGAACUUCUGAAAAUAUGAUUGUGCUCAGAGCCCCAAGAACUUUGAGAAGGAAAG
RNAcentral lists this long non-coding RNA (2725 nucleotides) under Equus caballus (horse). Its description in RNAcentral is "lncRNA (ENSECAG00000056114.1)". Lineage: Eukaryota; Metazoa; Chordata; Mammalia; Perissodactyla; Equidae. The record is from RNAcentral.